Molecule: long non-coding RNA, 591 nt
Organism: Puntigrus tetrazona (Sumatra barb)
Lineage: Eukaryota; Metazoa; Chordata; Actinopteri; Cypriniformes; Cyprinidae
Exons: 4
Source: RefSeq, a predicted model, not a curated record
GACAAUUAAAAUACGGUCAUUAAUUACUCGCGCUCGUACGGCGCCAACUCCGUAAGACCGAAUUCAGAUAAAAGAUGAAAUCUGAGAGCUUUGUGACGCUCCAUAGGCAUCAACGCAACACCGUCCAAGGCCCAGAAACGCAAAGCGGGGCACAGCUGUUGAUUUCAGUAAUCGUCGUGCCUUUCCUUGACCGGUUCUGAAGUCGUCUGGGGAAAAAUGCACACUGCACAACCUCAGCUGUCUCGCGUAUGGGAGCGGAAGAUCAACGCGCCGCUCAACGGCCAGCAGCCACCGCCUGAGCCGCUUCGGCUCGUUUACCGGGAAAGUGUGAAAGGUGCAGCUCUCUGACAGUAAGGAUACGUGUGAGCAUGCUGUCCAGAACUUCAUCACUCAAGGAGGUGGUGGAGAACCACAUGGGACUGUUGGGUACGCAGGAGCGCUCGGGGCUCAGGGACGCCAGCUGAAUUAAAAUAAACAAGUGAUGCAACAAGAACUUCCAACACACAGCCAAGAUGGUAUGACCGUUCACUGACCUGUGCUUGUGUCCUCUUUCGGGGGAUAGAAACGCAAACAGGCCACUUUUGUGUUGCC